CCUCUCCUCCCUCUCCCUCUUGAUAGGUAGCCCAGGAUAGCCUUGUCCUCAGUCUACAGCCAAGGAUGUCCCUGAACUACUGAUCCUCUUGCCCCUGUCUCCCAAAUGCUGGGAUUACAGGUCUGCACCACCACACCUGGUCUAUGUAGCAGUGGAGAUCCAACCCAAACCUUCGUUCUUGCUAGGCAAGUACUCUACAAGAGAGCGGUAUCCUCGGACCAAAGCAAAGGCUUCCUUCCUGUGUUGUCUCACGCAGAAGGCAGACUGCGCAGGAAGCACGAUGAACAUCUCACUGGCCCAGACAUCACUGAACCACACCUACGUGGACUACAUCAAAUGACAUGGGAUUUGGAGAGGGGAUUUUUUAUGGUGUUUGUUUCUUUGGAUUUUCUUGUAGUGCUGG
RNAcentral lists this long non-coding RNA (403 nucleotides) under Cricetulus griseus (Chinese hamster). RNAcentral's name for it is "lncRNA (ENSCGRG00015040151.1)". The record is from RNAcentral. Lineage: Eukaryota; Metazoa; Chordata; Mammalia; Rodentia; Cricetidae.